GCAAGAGAAAAGGGACUGGGAUUCCAACUGUCAGCGGAGAGUGUUGUCUGCAACCAGAAAAUCAGGAUGGAUCCGUGACCUGCCAAUACCUCAGCUGUGCCAAUUCUGCAGCUUUAUUCUGAUCAAGCAGCUGAUGAACACCUUCAUCAUCAUGUCCCUCACUGCUG
Molecule: long non-coding RNA, 167 nt
Organism: Megalobrama amblycephala (Wuchang bream)
Lineage: Eukaryota; Metazoa; Chordata; Actinopteri; Cypriniformes; Xenocyprididae
Exons: 3
Source: RefSeq, a predicted model, not a curated record